UAACUAGGAUUAGAUACCCUAUUAUUUUGAGUGUUAAUGUUUUUACCUGAGUAGUAUUAGUUGUGUUCUUGAAACUUAAAGAAUUUGGCGGUAUCCUACUCCGUUCAGAGGAAUCUGUCUCGUUAUCGAUAGUCCGCGUUGGACCUUACUUAGGGUUAAUUUUGGUUUGUAUACCGCCGUUUAUUGAUUACUUUUUAGAGUAUCAUGAAUUUUCUGGUUUCUUUAAUUUGAUUUAUUGCAGGUCAAGGUGCAGCUUUUUCUAAGUGUAAUGAUGGAUUACAGUGUUAUGUGUUGUUUGGAUUGUUUAUUUUAAUAUUGGCAUGAAAUUGGAUUUGGUUGUAAUGUUUUGUAGAUUGUUUUCAUGAUAGUUGGUUCUAGGAUAUGUACACAUCGCCCGUCGGCUCCUCAUUCCUCUUG
RNAcentral lists this ribosomal RNA (417 nucleotides) under Odontotermes obesus. RNAcentral describes it as "partial 12S ribosomal RNA". Lineage: Eukaryota; Metazoa; Arthropoda; Insecta; Blattodea; Termitidae. The record is from RNAcentral.